Molecule: non-coding RNA, 3701 nt
Organism: Macaca mulatta (Rhesus monkey)
Lineage: Eukaryota; Metazoa; Chordata; Mammalia; Primates; Cercopithecidae
Source: RefSeq, a predicted model, not a curated record
AAAAGAAAAAAGAGGGGAAAUGCAAAAAUUAAAGGUACUUUCUUUUUCAUGGAGACCUCCUCCUCCUUUCUCUGCUGUGCCUGCUCCCUCUGCUUCCCCUGCAUGUCCUUAUCCUUCUUUGCUUCUAACUGACUGUAGUGGCUCCCAGGCAAGGGGGAGGUGAUGAUCUUUUAGAGAAUAGAUUUCCCUGUAAAGGGAGAUGAAGGUACAACUUUCUACAACUACCUGCUCUAUUUGAGGAUACAAGUUUGCCUGGUGGCCUAGCCCUGAGUCUACUUUAUGUUUUAGACCAGAUUCCACCUCCAGGAGGUCUUAUCAUCUACAUACCACACAACACACAACUAGAAAGGCAGAAAUAAUAAAGAGACAUUAUCAUGGGAUGAUUGAGAACUUGGAUAAAAGACUGUGCUGUGGUUUGAAUGUGUCCUCCAAAUUUCAUGUGUUGGAAACUUAAUCCCCAAAUUCGUAUUUGAUAGUAUUUGGAGGUGAGGCCUUUGGGAGGCAGUUAGGAUUAGAUAAUUUCAUUAGAGUAGGGCCCCCAUGAUGGGACUGGUGGCUUUAUAAGAAGAGGAAGAGAUACCUUAGCUGACAUGCUGUUACUCUUUUGCCAUGUGAUACCUUCCAGCACGUUAUGUCACAGCAAGAAGGCCCUCACUAGAUGCUGGCUCCUUGAUGUUGUACUUCCCAGCCUCCAGAAUCAUAAGUUUACAGCCCCAUGUGUGGAGAUGUGUACUGGCUACUGCAUGGAAUUUUGCAACGAGCAGACUUUGAUCCUUUGAUGGAGCAAGGAUGUUGGUGCCCAGAAGAUUACCACAUCAGGGGUAUGGUGGCCAAGAGAAGUUGACUAUCCACCAUCCCCCACAAAUAUGGAUAAUCUGAGGAUAGAGGUUCCUUGAAACCUUUCUUGUAAAGAGGAACUGGAAGAUAUUGCAGGUGUUCACUCAUACGACAGGUGAGUACCUCAUUAAUUUCCAUCAGUGACUUGUUCAGGCAUUCUAAAAAUUUAUUGGCAUGGAUCCAAGGUCAUAUAAAAAUUGCCCUCUGGCUCUAACCACCUUUAUUUUAGCUCUCUCACUGACUAUCCAAACCCAAAUUAAGGAAAAGGUAGUAGGAUGGCAAAGGCAAACUAUUAUUCAAAUCUUAGCAGCAGCUACUCAGUUUUGGGAUAAUCUAAGAACAAAAAAGGAAAAAAAGUGAUUAAAGUUUGCUUUGUUCUCUGCUUAGUUAGAACUCUUUACUGAAGGGAAUAACCCCGCAAUGACCAAUCCAGAAAGGGAAGAAAGAAAGAUGGGAGGCUAUAUGUUGUUAUUGCAAGAAGCCAGGGUGUUGGAAGAGGGAUUGCAGAAGGACACUCUGGAUGAUGCAGAAACUGCAAAGAUAAGAGAAUUAGGAGAGCCUAGAACAAAACUUUCAGCGAGGAAAUACUUGGCAGAUGGUUCAAAAUUGACAAAUUGAGGGAAUCCCAAAGGUGAGAACUAGUGGACUGUAAUGUGUCAAUAACUUUUCCCAUCUGGUGACAGGUUAAUACAGGUUAUGAAUGUUUUGGGUCAGCCUUCUACUUGUCCCCUUUCCUCUGUCACUCCCAUAGAGAUAGGUCCUUUGACUAAGGAACAUGUGUUCUUCAUUUCUCCUGAAUCUCCUAUAAACCUACUGGUGAGAGACCUGCUGUGCAACUUAAUAGCUACUGGAUUCUGUACUGUGGAUGAAGUGUCUGUGGAGCCUUUUGGGAGAAGGCACCUGAUUUGGAUACUAUAUACUUCUGAAAGAAAAGAGGUAUGGCAAAGAGUGGCAGUCUCAUACUGUGCUGGAAAAGUCCCCACAAGCUGAAACAAGUCACUUAAAUGUGAAGUAAAAAACUAUAAAUCUUCUAGAAUAAAACACAGGAGAAAAUCUUCAUGACCUUGAGUUAGGCAAAGAUUCUUAGAUACAACACCAAAAGCAUGACCCAUAAAAGAAAAAAUAAAUAAACUGAACUUCAUAAAAAAUGAAAAAAAAAUUGCAUUUCAAAAUAUUCCAUUGAGGAAAUGAGAAGACAAGCCACAGACUGGGAGAAGAUAUUUGCAAAUCAUAUAUCUGAUAAAGGACUUGUAUCCAGAAUGCAUUAAGAACUCUGACAACUCAAUCAUAAUAAUGAUAAUAAUAAUCAGACAACUGAAUUUAAAAGUAAACAAAAGACUUGAAGGAGCAUUUAAUCAAAGGGAAUGACAAUAUUGGAUUAAUUUGAGAUAUAAAAAAUAGCUUAACAAAAAGAUGAGCCAUGGCUAUGUGUCAACAAUAUCCUUUGUUGAGACCUCAAUUAAACAUAAUAAAACCAGUUAUAAAAGAAUUAGAAAAACAUGUAAUCCCCAUGCUUUGGAAGGCCAAGUUAGGAGGAUCAGUUGAGGUUAGGAGUUUGAGACCAGUCUGGGCAACAUAGUGAGACCUCGUCUCUACAAAAAAUAAAAAUAAAAAAAAAAUUAGCCGGGCGUGAUGGCAGGUGCCUGUAGUCCUAGCUACUUGGGAGGCUGAGAUGGGAGGAUUACCUGAACCUUGGAGUUUGAGGUUACAGUGAGCCAUGAUCACACCACUGCACUCAAGCCUGGGUAACAGAGUGAGACCCUGUCUCAAACAAACAAACAAACAAACAAAAACAAAGGAUAAUUUAAAAGGGGUACUUACCCUGUAGUAAUCCCACAUUUCCAGUAAAGAAGAAAGGUAAAUUUGAUAAAGGUGGGUAAGCUCUGUAUAGAUUUGUACUGAUUUUAGAGAAGUAAAUUAAUUUGUUGUCCCAUUAACACCUGUAGUUACUAAUCCUUCAUCUAUUCUGAUGUCAGUAUCGUCUGAAAAAAAUAUUUUUGUUUUUCUAUGCUCUGCCCUCCCUUCCUCUCUCUCUCUCCCUCCCUCCCUCUCUCCUUCCCUCCCUCAUUUCCUUCCUCCCUUCCUCCCUUCUUUCCUUCCUUCCCUCCUUCCCUUCUUCCCUUUUUUCCUUCCUUCUUUUGUUCCUUCCCCCUCUUUCUUUUCUUGUAAGUGGACAAGUCUAAAUUCUUAUUUGCUCAUAAAGGAGUCUGAUGCUUAUGGCAGACAAUUCCUCAAGGGUUUUGAGACUCCCCCUACUGUUUUAUCUAGUCAUUUACAGAAACACUUAGAGAAAUUUGUUUCACCAGAAGGAUCUAUAAUUUUUCAAAAUAUAGAUGAUUUUGCUGGUAGCUUCAGAAACUAAGGAGCAAUGCAAAACGAACACUUUGACUUUGUUACAAUUCUUUGCUUCACAAGGGCAUAAGGCCUCACUAGAUAAAUUGCAACAUUGCUUUUCUGAGUAAACUAUUUAAGGCAUCUGUGUUCAGCUGUGGGCCUUAGAGUGGUACAAUCUAAGAGUCAUCUCAUUUUGCAGAUCUAACGGCCAAAUGUAGUGCUGUGGUUGGAAUGUUUAUGUCUCAUUCUCUCCCCAAUUCGUAUGUUGAACCCUAAUCUCCAAUGUGAUGGUAUUAGAAAUAGGGCCUUAGGAGGUGAUUAGGGUGUUGCCCUAAUGAAUGGGUUGAAUGCCAUUAUAAAAAAAGGCCUCAGAGACCUUCCUGGCUCCUUCCAUCAUGUGAGGAUGCAACCAGAAGGCACCAUCUAUGAGGAAGUGAAUCCUUACCAGACACUGAAUUUACCAGCAUCUUGAUCUUGUACUUUCUAGCCUCCCAAAAUGUGAUUAAUAAAUGCCUAUUGUUUGUAAACUA